UGUAAAAUUUCCUCUGGGUCUAACGAAGCUGUGUUCCUUACUGGGUGUAGGACUGCAGGUGUUCAUCAUCACCUCUCUUCCCACCCCAUUGUUCUGGAGAGAGUGGUUUCUCCAGCCACUGUUGAACUUGGGGAAACACUCUAAGAGAGCGAUGCUGAUGUUGAGGUUGAAUAACUGCGUCAGGUGUUCAGUGGAGGUCACAUACUGAUCUGAACUUAAAGAGAAGGUGCUGCUAGAAUACCAUUUCACUCGGUGUAGGAGGAAGCCACCGUCUAUUACAGUGAAGCACGUUUUUACCAACCUGGGGUUGGUUUUAUACCAUUGAUUACCCCCAUCAAGUAAUCAAGAAUAUUGUUCAUCAUGCUCCUCCAUGUAUUUCACAAUCUCCUCCACAGCGAUUUCAAAAUUCUCGUCUCUGGCCUGUAGGUAUCCAGUUAAUUGUUGCAACAUGAACUUUUUUGGUACUCCAUAAUACCACUGAAUGACUGGAGUGAGUGGACACCUAUGUGUGAAUUUACGGAGAACAAAAUUGGCACAGUUAGCCAAGUAGGUUAUCAACAAGCACUCAAAGGACGGCAUCCAGUAAAUUUUUGAGAAAAAAAUGCCCGAAGAGCAGACUUCAUAUUAUAUAGGAUACAACAAAGGUUCAAGAAGUAUGUUAAUGCCGUUAGUUCCAUCCUUAUUAUGGUUGUUGAAAGAAAGACUCUAAUUUUGAGACUGUUGGAGCUGGAUCCUUGAAGGAGUUGACGCUUUGUCCAAAUUCAUGGAACGUCGGCACCAAGGGAGAGCGCGGUUGAUCACAUGCACAGACUAGGAUCGGUGGACUGGUUGAGGUCCGUGGGAGGGGACGAAACUUCGACUUAUCGAAGCGACCAAAAGG
Molecule: long non-coding RNA, 880 nt
Organism: Photinus pyralis (common eastern firefly)
Lineage: Eukaryota; Metazoa; Arthropoda; Insecta; Coleoptera; Lampyridae
Exons: 4
Source: RefSeq, a predicted model, not a curated record